Molecule: ribosomal RNA, 519 nt
Filed under: uncultured Glomus
Lineage: Eukaryota; Fungi; Glomeromycota; Glomeromycetes; Glomerales; Glomeraceae
Description: SSU rRNA
Rfam family: Eukaryotic small subunit ribosomal RNA
Source: RNAcentral
AGCAGCCGCGGUAAUUCCAGCUCCAAUAGCGUAUAUUAAAGUUGUUGCAGUUAAAAGCUCGUAGUUGAAUUUCGGGAUCAGAUUGUCGGUCGUGCCUCGGUACGCACUGGCAUUAUUGGUUCCUACCUUCUGAAGAACCGCGAUGUCAUUAAUUUGGUGUCGCGGGGAAUCAGGACUGUUACUUUGAAAAAUUAGAGUGUUUAAAGCAGGCUUACGCUUGAAUACAUUAGCAUGGAAUAAUGAAAUAGGACGUUUGAUUCUAUUUUGUUGGUUUCUAGGAUCGACGUAAUGAUUAAUAGGGAUAGUUGGGGGCAUUAGUAUUCAAUUGUCAGAGGUGAAAUUCUUGGAUUUAUUGAAGACUAACUACUGCGAAAGCAUUUGCCAAGGAUGUUUUCUAUUAAUCAAGAACGAAAGUUAGGGGAUCGAAGACGAUCAGAUACCGUCGUAGUCUUAACCAUAAACUAUGCCGACUAGGGGAUCGGAUGAUGUUAAUUUUAUUAAUGACUCAUUCGGCGUCCG